Molecule: ribosomal RNA, 301 nt
Filed under: uncultured bacterium
Lineage: Bacteria
Description: partial 16S ribosomal RNA
Rfam family: Bacterial small subunit ribosomal RNA
Source: RNAcentral
CAGUCGCCGCGGUAAUACGUAGGGUGCGAGCGUUAAUCGGAAUUACUGGGCGUAAAGCGUGCGCAGGCGGUUGUGUAAGACAGGUGUGAAAUCCCCGGGCUUAACCUGGGAACUGCGCUUGUGACUGCACAGCUAGGGUAUGGCAGAGGGGGGUGGAAUUCCACGUGUAGCAGUGAAAUGCGUAGAGAUGUGGAGGAACACCGAUGGCGAAGGCAGCCCCCUGGGCCAAUACUGACGCUCAUGCACGAAAGCGUGGGGAGCAAACAGGAUUAGAUACCCCGGUAGUCCCUGUCUCUUAUAC